Acanthaster planci (crown-of-thorns starfish) is the source of this 689-nucleotide long non-coding RNA. Lineage: Eukaryota; Metazoa; Echinodermata; Asteroidea; Valvatida; Acanthasteridae. The record is from RefSeq and is a predicted model, not a curated record.
AAUCAGGCAAAAUGAUUUCACAGGCUGGGCAAUUCCCCGGAGCACGCAACAUGGACACCCGUGGCGAUUUGGCAGUGAACCCGAACGAGUGUCCACACUGCUGGAUUCCUCUUUGAAAGUGAUGCAAGUAACUAUAAUGCUCAAAGACUGUUUGCGAGAGUAAAGGAGAAAAUUGGCAUUGUGAAAUCUCCAGGGUUUGGAAAGUGGCCUUUUAAUACAAAACUGAGCGACAAAAGUGACACGACUUGUCGAUGAAGACGUAAAGGUACACCAGCGAGGCCAGCUGAAGCUAGCUGAUCAUACCUCAGUCGAGAAUAAACUUCUCCGACAUUUUGUGGACAUUUUGAAAGGCAGACAUUGAGAGCAGGAAUACGGACUUGGACACGGGAUAUUGCCUCUCAAUUUGGGAGUUCCGCUUACUAGGAGGUUACUUCGGUCAUUUGAAGCAGAAGCAGGGAAUCCCAGAAAGGCCAAAAACUUUGCAAGAAGAGGAAACCUAGCCAUAGAAAAUGGCAUGCAUCAGUCUGACGUACGGUCUCAUGCUUGGACUGUCGUUGUUCGUAAGAGCAAGCCUGGGUUUUGACUGCACAUUUGAACAUGGCAUGUGUGGUUGGGAGCAAUCUUGGGACGAUUCAGGCUCCUGGAUACGACAGUCUGGGAGCAGCUCAUGGGAUUCCACUGGUAUCCUG